AAGACCUUGUGCUUUUGGAGCGGCCGAUGUCUGAUUAGCUAGUUGGUGAGGUAAAGGCUUACCAAGGCUUCGAUCAGUAGCUGGUCUGAGAGGACGACCAGCCACACUGGGACUGAGACACGGCCCAGACUCCUACGGGAGGCAGCAGUGGGGAAUUUUGGACAAUGGGGGCAACCCUGAUCCAGCCAUGCCGCGUGAGUGAAGAAGGCCUUCGGGUUGUAAGGCUCUUUCAGCCGGAACGAAACGGUCACGGUUAAUAACUGUGAUCACUGACGGUACCGGAAGAAGAAGCACCGGCUAACUACGUGCCAGCAGCCGCGGUAAUACGUAGGGUGCGAGCGUUAAUCGGAAUUACUGGGCGUAAAGCGUGCGCAGGCGGUUUUGUAAGUCAGAUGUGAAAUCCCCGGGCUUAACCUGGGAACU
RNAcentral lists this ribosomal RNA (423 nucleotides) under uncultured bacterium. RNAcentral's name for it is "bacterial SSU rRNA". It matches the Rfam family "Bacterial small subunit ribosomal RNA", at positions 202 to 622 of the family's 1533-position model. The record is from RNAcentral.